AAGGUUCGAUUCUGGCUCAGGAUGAACGCUAGCUACAGGCUUAACACAUGCAAGUCGAGGGGCAUCAUGAUCAAAGCUGCUUGAUGAUGGCGACCGGCGCACGGGUGAGUAACGCGUAUCCAACCUUCCCCCUAGUAGGGCAUAGCCCGGCGAAAGUCGGAUUAAUACCCUAUGUUUUCCAAUGAGGACAUCUGAGCUGGAACAAAGAUUUAUCGCUAGGGGGAUGGGGAUGCGUCCGAUUAGCUUGCCGGCGGGGUAACGGCCCACCGGGGCGACGAUCGGUAGGGGUUCUGAGAGGAAGGUCCCCCACACUGGUACUGAGACACGGACCAGACUCCUACGGGAGGCAGCAGUGAGGAAUAUUGGUCAAUGGGCGUAAGCCUGAACCAGCCAAGUAGCGUGCAGGAGGACGGCCCUAUGGGUUGUAAACUGCUUUUAUGCGGGAUAAAGUUCACCACGUGUGGUGUUUUGUAGGUACCGCAUGAAUAAGGACCGGCUAAUUCCGUGCCAGCAGCUGC
RNAcentral lists this ribosomal RNA (518 nucleotides) under uncultured bacterium. RNAcentral's name for it is "bacterial SSU rRNA". It matches the Rfam family "Bacterial small subunit ribosomal RNA", at positions 8 to 518 of the family's 1533-position model. The record is from RNAcentral.